GACGAACGCUGGCGGCGUGCUUAACACAUGCAAGUCGAGCGAUGAAGUUCCUUCGGGAACGGAUUAGCGGCGGACGGGUGAGUAACACGUGGGUAACCUGCCUCAUAGAGGGGAAUAGCCUUUCGAAAGGAAGAUUAAUACCGCAUAAGAUUGUAGUAUCGCAUGAUACAGCAAUUAAAGGAGUAAUCCGCUAUGAGAUGGGCCCGCGGCGCAUUAGCUAGUUGGUGAGGUAACGGCGCACCAAGGCGACGAUGCGUAGCCGACCUGAGAGGGUGAGCGGACACAUUGUGACUGAGACACGGCCCAGACUCCUACGGGAGGCAGCAGUGGGGAAUAUUGCACAAUGGGGGAAACCCUGAUGCAGCAACGCCGCGUGAGUGAUGACGGUCUUCGGAUUGUAAAGCUCUGUCUUCAGGGACGAUAAUGACGGUACAUGAGGAGGAAGCCACGGCUAACUACGUGCCAGCAGCCGCGGUAA
RNAcentral lists this ribosomal RNA (478 nucleotides) under uncultured bacterium. Its description in RNAcentral is "partial 16S ribosomal RNA". It matches the Rfam family "Bacterial small subunit ribosomal RNA", at positions 28 to 523 of the family's 1533-position model. The record is from RNAcentral.